Molecule: long non-coding RNA, 5232 nt
Organism: Apis florea (little honeybee)
Lineage: Eukaryota; Metazoa; Arthropoda; Insecta; Hymenoptera; Apidae
Source: RefSeq, a predicted model, not a curated record
CCUCGAAUAUUGAAAUAUAGCGCGACACGUAGGAACACGAGACACAGUAGAAAAAGUGAAGAAACUCGAGAAAACUCGGGAGGGAGGGAUUCACGGGGCACCGUGUGUCUCGGUUAUUCAUAUUUUAUUCGGUCUCGACCCGGUCGGGUCGUGGGCCGCUCUGGGUUCUCGGCACUCGGGGCGGUCGGUAUAUUUCUAAAAAUAGUGGUGCAUCGAAUAACGAGCCGGCCGCGCGCCGCGAACAGUUGAAGUUUGCAUUGUGAACGCGUACAGUCCUGUAUACUGUACUGCUCUACUCCCAUGUAACCGAAGAUUUGACCCAAUGACCCAACGGACGGAGCCGAAACUAGGCGGAAACGGCCGAUCUCCUGUUUCGCCCGUCUCUCACUCUGUCUCUUGCGCACCCACCGGCGACCGCCUCUCUCUCUCUCUCGCUUCUCUGCGCUGUUUUACACUCGUAUUUUUCUUCCUUUCGUUCACCUUUGUACUCGAGUCGAAGUUAAGCUAAUCCACCGUUAAACAAGUAAACUGAGAACACGGCGCAGAAUGUCUCUAUUCUCCAUCGAAUGACGAAAAGCAAAGAAGCAAUAAAGGAGAAGACAAAGCGUCUCUAAGGUGGCUCGACCGUCUAAAAGCAACUAUUCUACACGUUUUUCAAGAAUUAGGUAGCCGUCCCUAUGGGUUUUGUCCGCGGGCAAAGAAAGCAUCGAAGUAAAGAGAAUGGAUGAUAUCGCAGGAGCAACUCGUACGAUCAGCCCGCAAGUAACCCGAGAUAAGAAUAAGAACCGUCCAGAGAAUUGGUGAAAUUAUACGAUUUUUUUUUUUCUCCUACGAUAUAUGGAUUUCGAAGGAACGUUAAUCCUUCUCCAUAAAUUUAUUUCUCCAACGUUCGAUCUCCCAAUCCUUUUCUUAAUUUUUUUUCCAUUGCAUCUCCAGAUAGAAUCCGACUGUUCGCGACACGAAUCUCGACCGAUUGUGAAAUCCAAAUUAUCCAAAGUGACGAAAUGAGAAAGAAUUUUAAAUCAGCAGCGAAUAUACAGAGAGAGAGCAGAGAUAUAUUUCGGGAGCAAACCGUCAGAGUGAAGUUGAGACAACGGUUUCCCAUUUUCCGAUCGGUGUUCCCCUCCUCUGUCGUCGACACUUCCGGGGGAUCAGCUUGUCGCUGGGAGGAGUGCCAGAGCGCUGCUCGAUGAGAAGAAAGGCGAAGGAAAAGGGCAAAGACCGUGGCGGGAAAGAGGUCACCCGGAUUUCGAGCGGGCUUUGCCUCACCAGAGAAAACCGGAGUCGUGUCUCAAGGUGGCCCAUCGUUUUUCGCAAGGGGAGUUUUUGGCACCACGGUCGCCCUCCUUUGCCCACUCGGAAUGAUCGAUCGAUCCAAAACUAUGCUUUUAUCGCUACGAUUUUAGUCGAUAAGGAUAGAGAGAACAAAUGUGUAAUUGCUUCAAAGGAUACUAUUCUUAUAUAUAUGAUCACUUUCUGGCCGACCCAUCGCCCUGCCUCGUCCACCACUUUACAAUUUACCUUGGAAAAAGAGGCUGUUCAACUUAAUUGAAUUCACGCCCUACGAGUAUAACGCGAGGAGCAAUUAAAAGAGCGAUGAAGUAGCCCUUCGGGGGAAGCACUCUGAAAAAUAACGUUCAUUUUGCUCGAAGAAAUCAUCUUCGCUUAUCCGGGAGAUGGCGAUUCCACGAUAAUGAAAGCUCGAGAGAAUGGAGAUCUGAAUCCGACUUCGACCAACGUUGGAUCACACGCGUGCGGUGUUGGAGAAGCGUUUUCGAAACUUUUGGCCAGGGAUGGCCGACAGGGUCUUCGAAGGCGUCGCGAUCGAUUGACCUUCCUCGACUGCGUUUCCGGCCUUACCUUGCACCUGCGAGAAGGCAAAGGGCAAACGAGAUUGACAGAUUGAUAAAUAGCUCGAGAAACCAGCGUGAACAAGAGCGAUGUUAACGAGUUAAGAUACGUUCGAAAGGAUAAUGAAAUUAACAUAUUCGAUCGGGUCGAUUUUUUAUCAGAAAUUUUAAUUACACGAGAAUUAUGCGUUGAGAAUAUAGAAUAGAUCCUUUGGACAAGUUAUCGUCGAUUCGGUUUAACACGUUCGUCAUCCACAUUUGGGUGAGAAGAAAAGAGGCGUUGUUACGAAUCUCCACCGAUAAUACAGAACCGACUUGAAGUUGGUCAACCAUCAAUUAGAGGCUUACAUUCGGAAUGCUUAAGAUCGACUUUGGAAAGUUUUGGAACGGUUGAAACGGACAAAGAAGUAGAAGUAGAGGCACUGAGAGCAUAACUGAUUCAGGAUUCAAGUGGUUACAGUUUACGUUCUUACAAUCUUUCGUACAGUGACAUUUCGACCUCGGUGAGAAACACGACUGAAUCACGCUGGCUGACGAACGUUCCUCGAAAAAGGAUUAAUUAAGUGCACGUGUACACUCGAAAAGUCCCCGUUUUCCCAAAUUCCGUCCCCGUAUCGCUCGUACAUCGCGAGAGGACGUCUCGCGUACGAAAAGUUCGCGGCCCCUUAAAUUCGUAACGUGGAAUGACGUCAUUGGUGAGCGCGCGCGCAAACGUCCCUGUUUCGCGAUCCGCAAACGUCGUUUCCCGUCGAUUCGUGCCACGGGGGCACCGCCAUCGUAAAGCCAUUUCGGGGAUCUCGCGGCACAUAAAUUAUAAAAUCGACCGACGCCGGAUCGUCUGUGCAACGGCCGGCAUCUGGGACGCCGCGGAAGAAUAUUCCCCUCGCUUGUUCGAUUCCGUUUAUUACUUCAGAUUUAUACUCGAUCGAGUGCAAUGGAAACGUUCUACUCGUUUAGGAGAACUUCUCGAAACGAUUUCCACCCAUAUUUUUAUUCCUCCAGCUCGUGAACGUGACGAAACGAGAGAGUCAAAAACAAGAACUAAUAUCGCGAAGAACGAAGAAUUGCGGAGGAGGGAAGAGGAUUGUCGAGGAUGAAAGAGAAAGGUACAACACAAUCGAUCCUCGACACUCGUCACUUGCGUUCACAAUUGGAUGAACGGUCUCGUCGCAUCUUGUCUCACACUGAUACGAUUAAACGAGGAAGAAUAUGAAACGACGUCGAGUGUUUCUACUCUAAAAAAGGAUUGACACGAUAGGUGAUAUAUUUCGUCUAUUGUGGAUGAAAAAAAGAAUCCAUGGAUAUUGAGAAUGCACCGACUCCGACGAUCGAGGUGAAUUUGGCAGAAAUCCAGAACCACCGUCACCAAAAAGAAUGAAAAUCCACGACACGGCCGAUAAUCAUCGUAAACGUUGUCGAAGUCGAAUCGAGGAGGAUCGACGUCAAGAAUGAAUUAAAUAACGCGUGCGUGAAUUUUCGAUGAAGAGAAAAGGAUCUGUUUCGUAUCGUGAUCAAUCGUUCGUGCAGACCACGUUGACUCUAUCCACACAGGAGUAUAUAGCAAUAGAGAAUAGAUUCGAGUGAGAAUUUCCAUUAUUUCUGAAUAAAUUUGGACUCAUUGAGCUUAUUGGGUUAAUGGAGAUACAAUGCAUGUACGUGCGUGUACGUGCGGCAAGAAUUCGCGAGCGGAAAGGAGACAAGCUAGAGCCAGAGGCGUUUCUUGUUAUCCGUGAAUUUCCGGCCGAGCUGUUUACCGCUUCAACCAACGAUCUUAUAAUUACUUAAACAAUGUACAACCACAUAGUUGCUUGACUCUGAGUGCUACUUCCUCCAAACGUAUUGCAUUAAUGAAGUUUUCUUCCGUAUUCCAUCUUAAAAGCGCGAGAACUUUUUUAAUUAAAAUUUUUUUUCUUUUUAUUUUCUUUCAUUAAAAUGAUGAAUAAUUAACGAAGAAAAUAUUUGUCACACAAAGAAAGAUGUUAGAACGUGAGUUAGAAGAAGAAAUGCUUAAUUCUUCGAAUCCUGACUAUCUGUGUUGCUUCUCUAUAAAAUAUUAAAAUAUAUUAAAACGAAAUGGGAAGAUGAAGUAUAACUUUUGUAUUAACUAUGAUACAAAUAUUUUUUCUUUUUGAAUCGGAAAUUAUAAUAUAUUAUGAUCAAUUAAAGAAUACUUUUUAUAGAAAUAAAAAUUACGAAAAAUGGUGAAUAUAAUGAAUAUGUUUCUGAAAAAAAAAGUGAAAAGUGGAAAAAAGAUGAAAAAAAGAAUAAAGAGAGAGGGAUAGAAAUUCGAUCGAAGUUGUUGAAAAGAGGGCGCCACUUUACUGAUCGCCUUAUUUUUCUCCUGACUCAUUCUGAUACUUGCGAAAUAUACACUUGCUCUAUCGCAAUAAUGAUCAACAUUUAUCAUUACAUUUAAAAUUUAGAAUUAAAAUAAAAAGUAAAAGGUAAAUUAAAGCAUAACAAUAUAUUCGAACAAUAUAUACGUGUCUGUUUGAAAGUAAAAUUCUCGUCAAUUGCUCUCGAAAAUAAUUUUUCAUGAAUAACAACAACUUGCUAUAAGAUAAUCACAUUCGAUGUAUACUAACGAGAAAUAAUUCCUAAAAUCAAAUUUCGAGAAUUCUAUUUCUAAAUGAAUUUACAUUUCGAUAUCUUUCAGAAUGAGAUGAGAUGAUUUGAUGAUAUUAUAUGAAAAAGGGUGAUAGCUCCUGAUUCACGUUCGCCUAUAGAAUAUUUACACAAGCGCAUAUGUACACUCUUUGAUUCUCUAAGACACUAAUUGCGAACCACGUCUGGCUGGCUCUCGAGGCACUAAAUUAAUUAAUGGCAUACCAAAUGACGAGUCGUGCGAAGACUCGCUCGGCGAGCCCUCAUUGCCUGAAAAAAGCAAAAUAAUACGGCAUACGAUCGUGCCACGAAUAUCAAUGCUUCUUUCGUUGUCGUCAAGAAGCAGAGAGUCUCAUGCUCGUUAACUAUGUUGUAUCAUCCUAUCGUUUUUUAACUUCCCUCGUUCCUUUCUUUUUUUCUUCUACUUUGCCCACUUUCUUUCAAUUUUUUUUUUUUUCAAUUCUCCUUUUUACCAUCAGAACAAAUUAUGUACGUUCUUUGUGCAAUGUCGUAGCUCACGGAUGUGAUUUAAUACAGUCAUAAUUGUAUAAAUAGUUCUAAUAAUACAUGUCGUCUCCAAGAAGUCUCCUCUAUAUUGAAUCAUAACUCGAAGAAAGAUACCAGUAUUAUUCCUCUAUAUCGUAAAAAUAUUCAAGAAUACGUAACAAUGAAAUCAGCCAGCCAAGAUAUUUCGUUUAAUCCCAUAUUUUCUUUCUCGUAAAAAUUUUAUGAAACAGCACCAUUCUGAUCCAUAAUCCGAGGUAUUACGAGGUAACCG